UGGCGACCUUAGCGCUGUGGUCCCACCUGAAUCCAUGCCGAACUCAGAAGUGAAACGCAGCUGCGCCGAUGGUAGUGUGGGGUCUCCCCAUGUGAGAGUAGGACAUCGCCAGGCG
Molecule: ribosomal RNA, 115 nt
Filed under: Photobacterium damselae
Lineage: Bacteria; Pseudomonadati; Pseudomonadota; Gammaproteobacteria; Vibrionales; Vibrionaceae
Source: RNAcentral